This 254-nucleotide ribosomal RNA is filed under the name uncultured bacterium. Its description in RNAcentral is "partial 16S ribosomal RNA". It matches the Rfam family "Bacterial small subunit ribosomal RNA", at positions 524 to 776 of the family's 1533-position model. The record is from RNAcentral.
UACAGAGGGUGCGAGCGUUGUUCGGAAUUACUGGGCGUAAAGCGCGCGCAGGCGGCUUUUUAAGUCUGCUGGUGAAAUGCCGGGGCUCAACCCCGUGCCCGCCACAGAUACUGGGAAGCUGGAGACGAGUAGAGGCAAGCGGAAUUCCGGGUGUAGCGGUGGAAUGCGUAGAGAUCCGGAAGAACACCGGAGGCGAAGGCGGCUUGCUGGGCUCGGUCUGACGCUGAGGCGCGAAAGCGUGGGGAGCGAACAGG